CCCGUAAUUCCGUUCCUCGUCGAAGUCCUAAGUCCUAACAUAAAAAUUUUCGUAGGAUUUUCAAUUAAGCAUCAUGUUAUUUUAAAAAAAGUCAGCCAUGUCACUGUCAGCAUGUCAGCUAUGGAAUUGUUUUAUGUGGAAUGCGUUGUAAAAUUUUCUUUUCGUUUUUUCUAGUAGUUUCUCUACUGCAUGAUCAAUCGUAAUUCAUUUGUUAGACACUUAAACAAGUCACGUUUUAAGGAAAUGUUUGAAACCACUUUGGAUUCCCAGACUGCAUCGUGAACCACAUCGUGUGACUACAACAGUUGAAGCAUGAAUUCUUCUUGUGUGCAUCGGAUUUUCAAUCUCUGUUCUGUAAGUGGUGGGUGUUGCAAGAAAUUUAUUUUCUCAGGAUCUGUGUCUGGCUAUCAUCUGGCUGCUUCAACAACUCAAUGCAAAAGUUUAACUGUGAACGUGAGUCUUGAGAUUAUUGGGUUCACAAGUGUGAGUGGCAAGUAACACUCUGACUUCUCCCCAGAAAAUGUAUCAACUGCCAGCAACCAUGCAGAUGAUGGAUUUGAAAAGAUUAUAGCUUUGAAAGCUUUUCAGUUUCCUCCAGAUCUCAAUUUUGGUAAUCAAGUUUAAGCUCUCCUUCAUCAGGGUGAUGUGACGAACCAUUUAAAUUCGGCUAGUCAACAUUCCGUUUUUAUGCUUAUCCGUUUGGAGUAGGAAAUCUCUUAUUACUCAAAUAUAUUUACUGAAUAAUUAUUCAGUAAAGACAGUUUAUCCCGUUUCCCCCGACUCGUGUGCUUGAACCUCUAAGACGCGACUUACUUGAAAGACAAUAUUGCGCAAACGAUGUAGGAAAAGAAGAGGGCGAGAAAAAUAACGCGGUAAUGUCCAAACACUGAAACCUGUUAAGCGAAGGUUGCUGUAUUGAGUAGCGCAUCAAAACGGAGUUUAGUUCGUCUUCUGUUCACUGUCUUACUAAUUCGUUCCAUACACUGGAUGGUACCGUCCAUCAGAUUGGACCUGCAGAACGCACAGUCGCGGAAGUAAGGCGGUUGUGCUGCCACAUCUUUCUACAGUAAAUGCAAUGGCAGGUUGAUCAUCUAUGUCAUCCUCCAAUUAGAAUUGAAGGUGAAUCUGGACUUUCGGCCAGUGUAGCAAAGACCGGACGCCAGGUUUUGUUCCAACUCCACAACUUGCCAAACAUCUGGCAGCCUGUCUUCAAUCCUAAAAGUGGCGGAGUGUCUGUUCGUGAGUGAAUGAAGCAAGUUCGCCAUUUGCUUUUGAGACGGUGGACCACAGGUGGACGGAAAUGUCAAAUGUGAUGCUGUGUUUUUUGUUUUUUUUUUUACAUGUUAAAAUGCUGAAGUAAUUUCACACAAUUCGACCAAGCUGAAUCGAAAGUGAACAACUCUUAAAGCAAAUUUCCAUGGUCAGUUUGAUGUUUGAGCUGCCUAUGGUGUUGCUGUUUGGUGUACAGUGGUUUUGCAGUCAUUUUCCAGUUGAGAGAUAUUCUGAAAUGGAGCUUGUGGAGACUUGCAGUUCAACAUCAUACUAUAAUGUGUUAUUUGCCUAUGUUGGUGUCCAUGCAGUAUAUGCAGUGAUGAACAGUUGGGCUAGUCAAUGUUGCCUGUGGCCGUCUGGCUUAUUUUAUCGGCUGCAUUUUGUCGAUAUGUCUUCUCUUGCUACCUGUACCGUCGUUGAGUUGAUUCGUUUGCCGCCGUUCCUUAGACUUGAUCCACCGGUGAAACUAAGAAGACGUUGCUGAAAUUCAAGAUUGAUCAAAAAACUAUGUAGAUAAAUUACAAGUGCAUAAUCUGGGCUCCCUUCUUCAGUGGCCCCGUUUCCCUAAAUAACCACUAACCAACGCCCGCCGGUGGUCACUCACUCGCUGCGACAACCAGGAGGAAGGGAGAUGUUUGGUCGAACGGGGACUUGCAAGCCGCUUGAUUCGAUGAAAUCUGUUGGAGGGUCAUGAGUCUAAGCCGGAAGUCUUCUAUGAUGCAUUGCUCUCUUAAAAACUGUUCCUCGACUCUCUUCGCUCUAUUUCCGGUUUCUCUUAACCAUGGCCGGGUAAUCUCCCUGGUCGAGUCAGUCGGGCAGUGUCUUCCCCUGCUUGACUGGCUGCAGUUUGAACCGGACGGUCUGUUAAAAUAAGAAUUUAAAUCUAGAACAACGCCUUUGAGCGGCCCGGACAAUCCUGAAUCCUUUAGGGUUGCCAUUCCAUCGAGGCUUAAACGAGGAUGACGCGGAGGUGUUGCCCAUUGAGGGGUUUUGGUGACAAGGAGUCAAUGAACGAAAUGCUAAACCAAAUAAAAAAAAUAUUAAAAAAGACCCAUCCCCAGCAACGUCAACCUGCAGAAAGAAAAAGGCCAGUUUCUAUGGCCUUCAGACUCGAAGAUCGCGGAGAUAACUACGUAAAACUGGCAUGGGGUGGCGUAGAGGUUGGGUGAGAAUGACACGUUUUUCAACAUUAUCAAGCAGACCCAUCCCCGGCAAAGUCACCUGCAGAAGGAAAGGCCAGUUUGCAUUUCAAUUGAAG
RNAcentral lists this long non-coding RNA (2530 nucleotides) under Daphnia pulex (common water flea). RNAcentral's name for it is "uncharacterized LOC124204743, transcript variant X4". The record is from RNAcentral. Lineage: Eukaryota; Metazoa; Arthropoda; Branchiopoda; Diplostraca; Daphniidae.